RNAcentral lists this long non-coding RNA (1840 nucleotides) under Mytilus galloprovincialis (Mediterranean mussel). The record is from RNAcentral. Lineage: Eukaryota; Metazoa; Mollusca; Bivalvia; Mytilida; Mytilidae.
GAUUAUUAGUAUGUGACCAUUCUUAAGGUUUUCAAAGUAACAACCAUGUUUCACUAGUGGAAUCAGUUCAUGAUACUUGUAUAAUUAUCUGAUUAAAUUGAGACUUGUAUCAUUUCACUUUAAUCUAAUCAUGCACAGCAUGGUCUGAAUUAACUCGAAUAAUUCAAGCCCUUUCCGUGUCCGAUUUUCUCCCACACGAGGGCUUGAACUCCUUGUGAUCAUUGGCCGCGUCGCCUGCUCUCUGUGAGAGAGAGCCAAUCAGCGGCGAUCAGGAUAAUGAGUCUGCGCAACUCUCUUGUAAUUGUCUUACCAAACACGUGUGUUCAAUUAACACAAAUCCGAUAAUAAUUAAUUAACAUCAGUUAACAUCAGUUUACAUCAUUUAACAUCAAUUAACAUCCGGAACUCCUCCUUCUUUAGCUGCCAAUUUAAAUCAAAAUUCCCAUAUUGCAAAGCGGUGUGAAAAUUCCGGUUGACGAUCUUGAUCGAGGAAGACGUUCAGGCGUUAAUGUAGCCUUCGUAGAUCAGCGGAAUAUAACGACUGAAUUAUUCGGGUUAGGUCUGAAUUAGCCAUGACUUGAGAUUUUCUUUUAGUUAUUUUUUCAAGGCAAGAAGACAGGGCAUAUUGCAAUAUUUUGAAAUUGAUAUCUUUUUAUUAAUUACAUUCUUUGGUAAUUUGUAAACUUCACAUUAGUGGAAAUAGAUGUAAAUUGUAAAUUAUCUUAGAACAAACCGUUUAUACUACAGGAUACUGUUAACCAUACAAAGGUUUCCUUUUAGCUAACAUGCAAUAAAAUAUCACUAACAAUACAGCUGGGAAAAUCCAAUAUUAAAUUAAAUGACCAACGAUGGCUGGAAAUUUUUACACUCUUGACAACCAGAGCAACCAAAAUUGUUACUAUUUGACAGCAGCCAUUCAAUGUCACAUUAGUGUAUCAAAAUUAGCUAAAUAAAAAUACCUUGAUCAAUUUCUGUCUUACCACAACCAGAUCUCCGCAAAAGCUUUUCUUUUAAUUCAAUAAUCUGGCAGGCUAUAGUACAUCUGGCAAAGAAAAGAAAAUGGGUAAAAGUAAUAAGAGAAAAACGGUUUUCUAUGAAGAAAACAAUUAUAAGAAUACACAAUAUCUAAUAUUUUAAUUUUUACAAAUGUACUUUAAGAUUAAUAUGUGAUUUGAAAUACAUAUGUAGAAAAGUGAGUUCCAUCUGAAGGAUAAUCUUUUUUGAAUGCAGAUUUACUUUUGAACUAAUGCAUAAAUAUAAAUACUGUUCAUAUUUUCCUAGUUAAAAAGCAAUUCUACAUAUGUGAAACAUUUGAUAAACUCUCUUAACCUUAAAAACAAACAUCAAAUUUCAAGCUGAAUUGGAUAAGUUGAAACAUUUCUCAUAUAUUGAGUUUCAGGUGGAAAAUUGUCAUUUAUAAUGCAUGUUAAAAUUAUAUGGCUGAGCACACAAAAAUAAAUUUGACAUCAUAAGAUAUUUGUAUUUUAAGUGCAAUAUUUCUACCUGAAACCAUCAAUUACAAGAAUUAUUUGAGAUAUUUUCUGUAAUAGAUAAACCCUAUUUUUCAACUUGAAACUAUGAUUCACUUUUAAUGGUAAUUAAAAUUUUAUAUUCUAUUCUUAAAUAUUGAACAGAAUAAGUAAAAUGUAUCACACAUAUUCAAUUAAAUAAAUAAGGUACAUUGUUGAAUGGAAACAGAAUUAGUACGUAUUUCAGCAACAUAACACUGUAUAUACAUGUAAAAGAUAUCCAUUCUGAAGCUUUAGUGAAUACCAUGUAUAUCACAAUUUAAUCUGUACAUUGUUACGUUAUAAAGUGUUUUCAAAUAAACUCAUUUCAG